AACCGCGGUUAUACGAGAGGCUCAAAUUGAUGCACCACGGCGUAAAGUGUGAUUAAAGAUAAUCAAAACUAGAGCCAAACACCCCCUAUGCUGUCAUACGCCAUGGGGGUCACGAAGCCCAACAACGAAAGUGGUUCUAUUAACCUUGAACUCACGACAGCUAAGAUA
This 168-nucleotide ribosomal RNA is filed under the name Echidna leucotaenia. RNAcentral's name for it is "partial small subunit ribosomal RNA". The record is from RNAcentral. Lineage: Eukaryota; Metazoa; Chordata; Actinopteri; Anguilliformes; Muraenidae.